UACAGAGGUCCCAAGCGUUGUUCGGAUUCACUGGGCGUAAAGAGCUCGUAGGCGGCUUGUCGCGUCGUCUGUGAAAUCCCACGGCUCAACUGUGGGCUUGCAGUCGAUACGGGCAGGCUGGAGUUCGGUAGGGGAGACUGGAAUUCCUGGUGUAGCGGUGAAAUGCGCAGAUAUCAGGAGGAACACCGGUGGCGAAGGCGGGUCUCUGGGCCGAUACUGACGCUGAGGAGCGAAAGCGUGGGGAGCGAACAGG
This 253-nucleotide ribosomal RNA is filed under the name uncultured bacterium. RNAcentral describes it as "partial 16S ribosomal RNA". It matches the Rfam family "Bacterial small subunit ribosomal RNA", at positions 524 to 776 of the family's 1533-position model. The record is from RNAcentral.